UAGGAUGCGAGUACGUCUUCGCUUUCUC
Molecule: small RNA, 28 nt
Filed under: Bombyx mori (domestic silkworm)
Lineage: Eukaryota; Metazoa; Arthropoda; Insecta; Lepidoptera; Bombycidae
Description: ovarian small RNA-6413
Source: RNAcentral